AGUGAACGCUGGCGGUAGGCCUAACACAUGCGAGUCGAACGGCAGCACAGUAAGAGCUUGCUCUUACGGGUGGCGAGUGGCGGACGGGUGAGGAAUACAUCGGAAUCUACUUUUUCGUGGGGGAUAACGUAGGGAAACUUACGCUAAUACCGCAUACGACCUACGGGUGAAAGCAGGGGAUCUUCGGACCUUGCGCGAUUGAAUGAGCCGAUGUCGGAUUAGCUAGUUGGCGGGGUAAAGGCCCACCAAGGCGACGAUCCGUAGCUGGUCUGAGAGGAUGAUCAGCCACACUGGAACUGAGACACGGUCCAGACUCCUACGGGAGGCAGCAGUGGGGAAUAUUGGAAAAUGGGCGCAAGCCUGAUCCAGCCAUACCGCGUGGGUGAAGAAGGCCUUCGGGUUGUAAAGCCCUUUUGUUGGGAAAGAAAAGCAGCAGGUUAAUACCCCGCUGUUCUGACGGUACCCAAAGAAUAAGCACCGGCUAACUUCGUG
Molecule: ribosomal RNA, 492 nt
Filed under: uncultured bacterium
Lineage: Bacteria
Description: partial 16S ribosomal RNA
Rfam family: Bacterial small subunit ribosomal RNA
Source: RNAcentral